Polyporus arcularius HHB13444 is the source of this 103-nucleotide non-coding RNA. The record is from the annotation of a GenBank genome assembly. Lineage: Eukaryota; Fungi; Basidiomycota; Agaricomycetes; Polyporales; Polyporaceae.
GGGCAUGUGGUGUAGUUGGUUAUCACGCUCGCUUAGCAUACGUCCUAGUCGUCUUUCGAUGUGAAGCUGCGAGAGGGGUCCGGUUCAAUCCCGGACAUGUCCA